This is a transfer RNA of 73 nucleotides. It matches the Rfam family "tRNA". Rfam says of the family: Transfer RNA (tRNA) molecules are approximately 80 nucleotides in length. The record is from Rfam.
GCGGGUGUAGUUCAAUGUUUUAGAAUGCUGGUCUCCAACACCAGAGGUGAGGGUUCGAUUCCUUCCAUCCGCG